CAAGCGAAAGGGCAAUCCCGCCGUGUGCGGGAACGCAAAGCUGUAAACCUACCGCGGCCGGCAGCUCGUCUGCAGGCUGGGGGACGGUGGUUUAGCUGCCGAA
This 103-nucleotide non-coding RNA is filed under the name Acidobacteriota bacterium. RNAcentral describes it as "Acidobacteria bacterium c-di-GMP sequence". It matches the Rfam family "c-di-GMP-I riboswitch aptamer". From Rfam's summary of the family: GEMM was predicted in a large-scale screen for bacterial structured RNA regulatory elements. Genes associated with GEMM are involved in a diverse array of functions, including chemotaxis regulation, signal transduction, secretion and chitin. The record is from RNAcentral. Lineage: Bacteria; Pseudomonadati; Acidobacteriota.